CCUACGGGCGGCAGCAGUGAGGAAUAUUGGUCAAUGGACGAGAGUCUGAACCAGCCAAGUAGCGUGAAGGAUGACUGCCCUAUGGGUUGUAAACUUCUUUUAUAUGGGAAUAAAACGUUCCACGUGUGGGAUUUUGUAUGUACCAUAUGAAUAAGGAUCGGCUAUCUCCGUGCCAGCAGCCGCGGUAAUACGGAGGAUCCGAGCGUUAUCCGGAUUUAUUGGGUUUAAAGGGAGCGUAGGUGGAUUGUUAAGUCAGUUGUGAAAGUUUGCGGCUCAACCGUAAAAUUGCAGUUGAAACUGGCAGUCUUGAGUACAGUAGAGGUGGGCGGAAUUCGUGGUGUAGCGGUGAAAUGCUUAGAUAUCACGAAGAACUCCGAUUGCGAAGGCAGUUCACUGGACUGCAACUGACACUGAGGCUCGAAAGUGUGGGUAUCAAACAGGAUUAGAUACCCCGGUAGUC
RNAcentral lists this ribosomal RNA (460 nucleotides) under uncultured bacterium. Its description in RNAcentral is "partial 16S ribosomal RNA". It matches the Rfam family "Bacterial small subunit ribosomal RNA", at positions 338 to 795 of the family's 1533-position model. The record is from RNAcentral.